This 253-nucleotide ribosomal RNA is filed under the name uncultured bacterium. RNAcentral's name for it is "partial 16S ribosomal RNA". It matches the Rfam family "Bacterial small subunit ribosomal RNA", at positions 524 to 776 of the family's 1533-position model. The record is from RNAcentral.
UACGAAGGUCCCGAACGUUGAGCGAAUUUACUGGGCGUAAAGGGUCCGUAGGCGGUUUAGCAAGUGGUUGGUGAAAUUUCACGGCUCAACCGUGAAACUGCCUUCCAAACUGCUAAACUUGAGGCAGGGAGAGGUCGGCGGAAUUCCCGGUGUAGCGGUGAAAUGCGUAGAUAUCGGGAGGAACAACAGUGGCGAAGGCGGCCGACUGGAACUGUCCUGACGCUGAGGGACGAAAGCUAGGGGAGCAAACCGG